Gasterosteus aculeatus (three-spined stickleback) is the source of this 54-nucleotide non-coding RNA. Lineage: Eukaryota; Metazoa; Chordata; Actinopteri; Perciformes; Gasterosteidae. The record is from Rfam.
UUAAAAGUGUAAUGUAAGUCGCUUUGGAUAAAAGCGUAUGCUAAAUGACCUGUA